UACGAAGGGGGCUAGCGUUGCUCGGAAUCACUGGGCGUAAAGGGUGCGUAGGCGGGUCUUUAAGUCAGGGGUGAAAUCCUGGGGCUCAACUCCAGAACUGCCUUUGAUACUGAGGAUCUUGAGUUCGGGAGAGGUGAGUGGAACUGCUAGUGUAGAGGUGAAAUUCGUAGAUAUUCGCAAGAACACCAGUGGCGAAGGCGGCUCACUGGCCCGAUACUGACGCUGAGGCACGAAAGCGUGGGGAGCAAACAGG
Molecule: ribosomal RNA, 253 nt
Filed under: uncultured bacterium
Lineage: Bacteria
Description: partial 16S ribosomal RNA
Rfam family: Bacterial small subunit ribosomal RNA
Source: RNAcentral